This is a non-coding RNA of Rhabditophanes sp. KR3021, 82 nucleotides long. The record is from Rfam. NCBI's taxonomy places the organism in Eukaryota, Metazoa, Nematoda, Chromadorea, Rhabditida, Alloionematidae.
GCUCAGAUGUCCGAGUGGUUAAGGAGAUAGACUUGAAAUCUAUUGGGAUUUUCCCGCGUAGGUUCGAACCCUGCUCUGAGCG